GAUGAAGAACGCAGCGAAAUGCGAUACUUGGUGUGAAUUGCAGAAUCCCGUGAACCAUCGAGUCUUUGAACGCAAGUUGCGCCCGAAGCCAUUAGGCCGAGGGCACGCCUGCCUGGGUGUCACACGUCGUUGCCCCCCCAUCUACUCCUUCGGGAUUGCGGGGGGCGGAUGAUGGCCUCCCGUGCGCCUCGUCGCGCGGUUGGCAUAAAUGCCAAGUCCUCGGCGACGCACGCAACGACAAUCGGUGGUUGCGAAACCUCGGUUGCCCGUCGUGUGCGGUCGUCGCGCAUCGAGGGCUCGAAAAAAUUGCCGGGCUCCGGCUCGGCUUUCAACGCGACCCCAGGUCAGGCGGGGUUACCCGCUGAAUUUAAGCAUAUCAAUAAGCGGAGGA
This 391-nucleotide unclassified non-coding RNA is filed under the name soil metagenome. Its description in RNAcentral is "partial contains 5.8S ribosomal RNA, internal transcribed spacer 2, and large subunit ribosomal RNA". The stretch from base 1 to 122 matches the Rfam family "5.8S ribosomal RNA", at positions 35 to 154 of the family's 154-position model. The record is from RNAcentral.